GCCUCCUCGGCUCCGCUCUAAAAUCCACCAUCCUCCAGCUCCAAGAAGGCAAGAACCCGGCAAGUGGCGAGCCGCCAGCUGGAUCUCCUCUCCAGCUCUUGGGCCUCCCCUGCUCCAAAGUCUGGAUCUCCUCUCCAGGUCUUGGGCCGCCCAUGCUCCGGAGUCCAGAUCUCCUCUCCAGCUUUCCUCGCCGUCCUCGGCUCCUCCAACCUCCGGGCUCCGCCGCUCCGGCCUCCUUGGCUCCGCUCUAAAGUCCACCGUCCUCCAUUAGCAGCCCAGGCAGUGGUGAGAAUCUAUAAUCUAGAUGUAUGUAUGGCUGGAGGUAUAUGUUUGUUUAACUUUUAAUCUAGGUCCGAAGAUUAUUUGGUUACAUAUCUCAAGCUACCGAAAGUGACUCUCUAUUUUUCUUUUUCUUUUUUUUUUUGAGGAGAAGCAAAUCAAAGGUGACUUGAAAAAGAAAAUGUUUUUUUAAAUAAAAGAGAGAGAUAUAGGAGCGAAUUCAAGAUCCUUGGGUCACACACUGUUCUAUCAAUUUAAAGUUUAGUGAUGAAGUAAAUGAUUUUUAACAAAGUUGAUCAGGGAUUCUGAUGAUUCAGUUUAGUGUGAACUGAGAAUUUUGCAGUGCAGUAGUUUGAUUUGGUUCAACCAGGAAAGAGAGGUUUCAUUAGAGGUCCAUUAGAAAUCAUAAGGUUGAGUCAAACAUAGACUUUGGGAGAAGUUGAUAGAUUUUAGAUGCUUUUUAGCUAGGUCUGAAUCAAUUAAGAAAUUGUUUUGAGGAUG
This 780-nucleotide long non-coding RNA is filed under the name Phoenix dactylifera (date palm). RNAcentral's name for it is "long non-coding RNA (PDAC_LNC018329)". Lineage: Eukaryota; Viridiplantae; Streptophyta; Magnoliopsida; Arecales; Arecaceae. The record is from RNAcentral.